AGGGCACCACCAGGAGUGGAGCCUGCGGCUUAAUUUGACUCCACACGGGGAAACUUACCCGGCCUGGACACUGGAAGGAUUGACAGAUUGAGAGCUCUUUCUUGAUUCAGUGGGUGGUGGUGCAUGGCCGUUCUUAGUUGGUGGAGCGAUUUGUCUGGUUAAUUCCGAUAACGAACGAGACUCUAGCCUAUUAAAUAGGCUCUCGGCUUUUAAACGCCGGGAGGACUUCUUAGAGGGACAGGUGGCGGUUCAGCCGCACGAAAGAGAGCAAUAACAGGUCUGUGAUGCCCUUUGUUGUCCGGGGCCGCACGCGCGCUACACUGAAGAGAUCAGCGUGCUUUACGUUCCUGCUCCGACCGGAGUGGGGAACCCAGUGAACCUCCUUCGUGAUUGGGAUAGAAGAUUGUAAUUAUUCUUCUUGAACGAGGAAUUCCCAGUAAAUGCGAGUCAUAAGCUCGCGUUGAUUACGUCCCUGCCCUUUGUACACACCGCCCGUCGCUACUACCGAUUGAACGAUUU
Molecule: ribosomal RNA, 519 nt
Filed under: uncultured eukaryote
Lineage: Eukaryota
Description: SSU rRNA
Rfam family: Eukaryotic small subunit ribosomal RNA
Source: RNAcentral